RNAcentral lists this ribosomal RNA (327 nucleotides) under uncultured Bacillota bacterium. Its description in RNAcentral is "bacterial SSU rRNA". It matches the Rfam family "Bacterial small subunit ribosomal RNA", at positions 28 to 351 of the family's 1533-position model. Lineage: Bacteria; Bacillati; Bacillota. The record is from RNAcentral.
GACGAACGCUGGCGGCACGCCUAACACAUGCAAGUCGAACGGAGAUAAAUAGGUUUACUUGUUUAUCUUAGUGGCGGACGGGUGAGUAACACGUGAGCAACCUGCCUCUGAGAGAGGGAUAGCUUCUGGAAACGGAUGGUAAUACCUCAUGACAUAGUUUUAUCGCAUGAUAAGGCUAUCAAAGAUUUAUCACUCAGAGAUGGGCUCGCGUCUGAUUAGCUAGUUGGUGAGGUAACGGCUCACCAAGGCGACGAUCAGUAGCCGGACUGAGAGGUUGAACGGCCACAUUGGGACUGAGACACGGCCCAGGACUCCUACGGGUGGCAG